RNAcentral lists this transfer RNA (71 nucleotides) under Ictidomys tridecemlineatus (thirteen-lined ground squirrel). RNAcentral describes it as "Spermophilus tridecemlineatus (thirteen-lined ground squirrel) tRNA". It matches the Rfam family "tRNA". From Rfam's summary of the family: Transfer RNA (tRNA) molecules are approximately 80 nucleotides in length. Their secondary structure includes four short double-helical elements and three loops (D, anti-codon, and T loops). Further hydrogen bonds mediate the characteristic L-shaped molecular structure. tRNAs have two regions of fundamental functional importance: the anti-codon, which is responsible for specific mRNA codon recognition, and the 3' end, to which the tRNAs corresponding amino acid is attached (by aminoacyl-tRNA synthetases). tRNAs cope with the degeneracy of the genetic code in two manners: having more than one tRNA (with a specific anti-codon) for a particular amino acid; and 'wobble' base-pairing, i.e. permitting non-standard base-pairing at the 3rd anti-codon position. The record is from Rfam by way of RNAcentral. Lineage: Eukaryota; Metazoa; Chordata; Mammalia; Rodentia; Sciuridae.
GGGGAUAUAGCCCAGUUGGUUGAGUGCUUGCCUUGCAUGUGCAAGGCCCUGGGUUCAAUCCCCAGUACCCA